This 252-nucleotide ribosomal RNA is filed under the name uncultured prokaryote. RNAcentral's name for it is "partial 16S ribosomal RNA". It matches the Rfam family "Bacterial small subunit ribosomal RNA", at positions 524 to 776 of the family's 1533-position model. The record is from RNAcentral.
UACGUAGGGGGCAAGCGUUGUCCGGAAUUAUUGGGCGUAAAGCGCGCGCAGGCGGUUUUUUAAGUCUGGUGUAUAAACCUGAGGCUCAACCUUGGGACGCAUUGGAAACUGGGAAACUGGAGUGUAGGAGAGGAAAGUGGAAUUCCACGUGUAGCGGUGAAAUGCGUAGAUAUGUGGAGGAACACCAGUGGCGAAGGCGACUUUCUGGCCUAUAACUGACGCUGAGGCGCGAAAGCGUGGGGAGCAAACAGG